This 252-nucleotide ribosomal RNA is filed under the name uncultured bacterium. RNAcentral's name for it is "partial 16S ribosomal RNA". It matches the Rfam family "Bacterial small subunit ribosomal RNA", at positions 524 to 776 of the family's 1533-position model. The record is from RNAcentral.
UACGUAGGUCCCGAGCGUUGUCCGGAUUUAUUGGGCGUAAAGCGAGCGCAGGUGGUUUAUUAAGUCUGGUGUAAAAGGCAGUGGCUCAACCACUGUAUGCAUUGGAAACUGGUAGACUUGAGUGCAGGAGAGGAGAGUGGAAUUCCAUGUGUAACGGUGAAAUGCGUAGAUAUAUGGAGGAACACCGGUGGCGAAAGCGGCUCUCUGGCCUGUAACUGACACUGAGGCUCGAAAGCGUGGGGAGCAAACAGG